UGAUUUUUUUUGAUUUUGUCUAAACAAAAGUAAAAUCACUUUUAACAUUUGCCUUUAAAUGAGAGAUUUUUGGAAGCAUUUUUUUAAUUUUACCUGGAAUAAAUAACUAGAGACUUCAUAACUUGAAACUCAUGGUGCGUCAAUGACUUACAAUAGCUUUUUGAAGGUGCAACAAAAGGAAGUUUUCUCCAAAGAUUUUACUCUUCCUGAUACUUUGGAUCCAUUUCAACCUAAACAAUUAAAGGUAGAACAACCUUAAAAAACUUCGAACAACAAUCUCUCCGUGGGAAGCAGCUUUUAAGUGCAGAAGUCCGUGCCAAUCAUGAAAAUGGUGCUCCAGCUUAAUCACCGAUAAAACUGGGGUUGAUGGUCCCCACCUGAAGAUAUUGUUGAAAAAGCUUUGAAUGCAGUUCUGAAGUCUCCACCUCAGAUGCCUACCUUAAAAACACCAACUACUGCCCUUGCCUUCAUCCUCAACAACAAUAUUUCCAAGAGAACAUUUUGUCAAAUAAAAGAGUAAUGUGCUGAAAACUUUUCAAACAUCUGGCUAAACUAUAAUGCUGUUCCUGAAGCAAAAAAAGACUGGCGACCCUUAAGAAAUUCAAGUAGAUACACUGACAGCAAAAGCUCCACUUCAAAACAUUUUGGACCAAACAGUUAAAAGAGUAUUCUUGGAAGAUGCCCUUUUAAUUGAAUGGCUUAAAGACCAGUGUCUCUGUCCAGGAAUCUAUGAAUCUUCUAUCAAAAGGAUGAAAAUGGGAAAGUUCCAGGUGGCAAAGCAUACCUUGUCUCACAAACGGCUCCACUUCAAGCCAGAGAUGAAAGCAACAAAGAUAUGAUAUUUUACAACAACAAGAAUGUUAACAGUGGCAGUUUAUGUUGUCCAAUCAGAGUAGCAAUUGAAUAUGAGUCUAAACAAAACUUAGCUUGUGAAAUAGUUAGACUCCAUGAAGAGAUUCUCAACCUUUAAAAUUUAAAAAAUCGUUUUUUGUCUGAUGCAGGCAGCUUGGUGGCUUUUGAACCUUGCAGUUUUAUAAUUGAUACUUUAAGAAACUUUUUCCUGCAUUCCAAAUAUUUAAGGCAACUUUUUAAAAAAAAUAUUCUAGUAAAACUUUAGAAACAAAAAUAAAGUUAUGUGUCAAUUUUAGUUAUGAUUUUUCAAAAUUAUAAAAUUCUUUCCAGCUCAAAUUUAUGGCAUUCCUGAAUCUCUUGUCAGAAACUUGGCUACAAUUUGGAGCGCACAAGCUUGUGGAUUUACCUUGCUAAAGCAUUUGAUAGGCUUUGUGAUGAAACUAAGGCAAUCUACUACUGAUUUUCAAUCAUACCAACUCUUCACAAAGUUCUCUAAUAUGGUAAGGCUUUGGUUGAAAACUCCUUCCUACAGGGUUGACAAAUUAAGAGCCAAGAAAAACCCACCAUGUUUUCAUGCGCUUGACCAGAUCUGACCAUGUCAGAAAGAUUUCAUAGACUGAUGAUUUUAAAGACUUGUUUUUGUGUUUGAUUGAUUUAAAUGACCCUGUGGUUAGAAGUUUUUCAACAAAACUCAAAAAACAAGAAAGUUAUUUACAAAUGAAAUCAGGAAAUCGCUUUUAACUUCUCAUUGCAGUAGUUGGGGAGUCCGAAUCUGAUUCUGGAAAUGGUCUUUGAACCUUACUGAUAGUUUUUAGUCCAGUUUAUCAAUUUUAUUAUUUAAAAAUAUUAUCGUGUUCACUUGGCAAGAGUGAACUUAUACUUUGAUGAAAUCUUCCAGGUUUUUUGUAUUAUUACUGCUAUUUUAACUUUAUUUGGUGUCAAAAUAAAAUUUUUUCCAAUACUAACUAUUUUUAACCAAAUUAUUUAACCAAAGUCCAAUGUAAUAAUUUUGAAAUACAAUACUUUAACAUGCAUGGACUAAUUUCAAUUUCUAGAGUUAAUCAACAACCCUCCUAAUUGACUGCAACAACUUCUAAAUGUAGAUUUUCUAGAUCGAUUGCAACAACUUCUGAAUCGCUGCUAUGUUGUAACAACAGUUGAUUGAGAAUUUAGUGCAAUGAACAAUAUAAAAAAAUCAAUCAG
Hydra vulgaris (swiftwater hydra) is the source of this 2055-nucleotide non-coding RNA. The record is from RefSeq and is a predicted model, not a curated record. NCBI's taxonomy places the organism in Eukaryota, Metazoa, Cnidaria, Hydrozoa, Anthoathecata, Hydridae.